Molecule: long non-coding RNA, 520 nt
Organism: Pseudophryne corroboree (corroboree frog)
Lineage: Eukaryota; Metazoa; Chordata; Amphibia; Anura; Myobatrachidae
Exons: 2
Source: RefSeq, a predicted model, not a curated record
CGGGUUUCCAUGGUGACGGCCUCACUGACGCACAUCGCGUAAUACGCGAUGACGUCAUCUUCCAGCGCUACAGCAGCCGAACGGGUCCCCGCCGGGCGAGCGCUGCACACUUCACUGCACUUGGGUCUCUGGGAUAUAAGCAACUGAGGAGAGAAAAGGCCAUGAAAAAUGAAAUUUCUAUCAUUACCACUCCCCAAUGCCCCGUUUGAUUACAUUUUUGAAAUCAAUUAAAUUACAUUAAUUUACUAAUUAAUCCUUCCUUACAUCUGAUGUAGUACAGCCAUCCUGUCUGCCACUGCAUUGCCACUCAGUUUCCCAGAUGUGCCAUGUUUGAAGUAAACUGCCCCGAGUUUGUGCCACCCACUGCUGUCGCUUAGCUUAGUCAGGCAGCUAGCCCUGUGCAACCUUUUGGCCUAAACUGGAUGAAAACAAUAUUGUGAGCUGUGAAGUGAUCGAAAUUGACUGGAAAUUACUAGAAAUUAAUGUUAUUGAGGUUAAUAAAACUGCAGAAACAACAAAA